Molecule: ribosomal RNA, 882 nt
Filed under: uncultured bacterium
Lineage: Bacteria
Description: bacterial SSU rRNA
Rfam family: Bacterial small subunit ribosomal RNA
Source: RNAcentral
CCUACCCUGUAACAGGGGAAUAGCCCGAAGAAAUUCGGAUUAAAGUCCCAUAAUAUAUUGAGUCCGCAUGGAAUUAAUAUAAAAACUCCGGUGGUUAAGGAUGGGCAUGCGUGACAUUAGCUAGUUGGUGAGGUAACGGCUCACCAAGUCAGCGAUGUCUAGGGGGCCUGAGAGGGUAAUCCCCCACACUGGUACUGAGACACGGACCAGACUCCUACGGGAGGCAGCAGUGAGGAAUAUUGCGCAAUGGAGGCAACUCUGACGCAGCCAUGCCGCGUGCAGGAAGACGGCCCUAUGGGUUGUAAACUGCUUUUAUACGGGAAUAAUCCCCUUUACGUGUAGAGGGUUGAAUGUACCGUAAGAAUAAGCAUCGGCUAACUCCGUGCCAGCAGCCGCGGUAAUACGGAGGAUGCAAGCGUUAUCCGGAUUUAUUGGGUUUAAAGGGUGCGUAGGCGGGAUUGUAAGUCAGUGGUGAAAUCUUGCAGCUUAACUGUAAAAUAGCCAUUGAUACUGCAGUUCUUGAGUACAAUUGAGGUAGGCGGAAUGUGUAAUGUAGCGGUGAAAUGCUUAGAUAUUACACAGAACACCGAUUGCGUAGGCAGCUUACUAAGUUGUAACUGACGCUGAGGCACGAAAGCGUGGGUAGCGAACAGGAUUAGAUACCCUGGUAGUCCACGCCGUAAACGAUGAUCACUCGUUGUUGGCGAUACACAGUCAGCGACUGAGCGAAAGCAUUAAGUGAUCCACCUGGGGAGUACGGUCGCAAGACUGAAACUCAAAGGAAUUGACGGGGGCCCGCACAAGCGGAGGAACAUGUGGUUUAAUUCGAUGAUACGCGAGGAACCUUACCUGGGCUUAAAUGUAGAGCGAUGUUCCGAGAAA